CGUGUCAUGGCGGCAGUUUUGAAAAUGUUAACGGCGUCGAAGACCGAAAAGAAUAUAAACGUAAAGCCAGGGAGGAGGUUAUUCAGAAGACGAAGCAGCAGUAUGAGAAGGAGGAGAAGAGGAAGGAGAUGAAGAGACAGAGAAGAGAGAACACCUGGAUGCUCCCUGAAGUUGACCUCAGACUGCAGCAGCUAGAACAGGAGGUUUUCGGGCAAAAGCAAGAUGAAGUAAGAGAAGGAGGAGAAGAGAGCUCAGGGAGGAGAAGAGAGCUCAGGGAGGAGAAGAGAGCUC
This is a long non-coding RNA of Coregonus clupeaformis (lake whitefish), 291 nucleotides long. RefSeq lists it as uncharacterized. NCBI's taxonomy places the organism in Eukaryota, Metazoa, Chordata, Actinopteri, Salmoniformes, Salmonidae. The transcript is spliced from 3 exons. The record is from RefSeq and is a predicted model, not a curated record.